This 66-nucleotide transfer RNA is filed under the name Wormaldia unispina. RNAcentral's name for it is "tRNA-Leu". It matches the Rfam family "tRNA". From Rfam's summary of the family: Transfer RNA (tRNA) molecules are approximately 80 nucleotides in length. Their secondary structure includes four short double-helical elements and three loops (D, anti-codon, and T loops). Lineage: Eukaryota; Metazoa; Arthropoda; Insecta; Trichoptera; Philopotamidae. The record is from RNAcentral.
UCUAAUAUGGCAGAAAUAAUGCAAUGGAUUUAAACCCCAUAAAUAAAGAUUAUUCUUUUUUUAGAA